Molecule: long non-coding RNA, 842 nt
Filed under: Acyrthosiphon pisum (pea aphid)
Lineage: Eukaryota; Metazoa; Arthropoda; Insecta; Hemiptera; Aphididae
Description: uncharacterized LOC100572201, transcript variant X2
Source: RNAcentral
GACAAAGGCUAAUGUUAAAGUAUUAUUGAUUUAUACCCACGUAUGGUGUACCGACGGGGCGACGGCCAACUAAUCGAUUUUUUAGUUAAUAUUUUUUCCGCUGAGCUUUGCUUUCUGACUCAUACCGAUUUCUAUAGACGAAGUGGGGCUUUAUCGUAUUCUCGUGUUGUGUGCUUACGUGUUAAGAUAAUAUAAUGGCCGAAAAAAGUUCUAAAUCCAGUAAGAAUUCCAAGAAAGUUGGAGUUCCAGAAAAUGAUGAACGCAAUCAGAAAUCCAGUGAAUGUACUCAACAAACCAAAUAUGUAUUUGGAAAACUUCCGGGCGAAAGAAUUUGUUCGCCAUAUGGCAUCGAUCCUGAUAUUGAUUGUGAAAUCGAUGAUGAGGGAGACGUACCAGAUUAUUUGAGUUACUCUAUAAUGCCAGACGAUUAUCUUGAUGAAGAUAACUCCAUACCAAAUGAUGAAAAGCCGUGAAAACAAUAUUUAAUACUUCACAUAAUGUUAAUUCCCUUACAUUUGGGAUCAUAAUUUUAUAUUCUUAUCAAAUUAAAUAAUUUUUUUUUUUUAUCUAAAAUCCCUACAUAUAAAAUCUCAUAUUGGUUGUAUGAUAAAAUAUUUUAAAUACAUCAUAUCUACAUUCAUACCAUAUAAUUCUUAUUAUAUGAACACGAAUCUGGUUAAGAGGACUAUUUGUUUUCUCCCACCGACUCAUGUGCAACAUAAAAAAAACGCAUUUGCGCAGAACUGUUUUUCCAUGUUUUUAAUUAAUUUUAAAAUAAUAUCACACAUUGCAAAAAGAGAUUGAGAAUAAUAUUUUUGAGAGAAUGAAAUAUUGAUUUGUCU